This 75-nucleotide transfer RNA is filed under the name Bacteriovoracaceae bacterium. Its description in RNAcentral is "tRNA-Thr". It matches the Rfam family "tRNA". From Rfam's summary of the family: Transfer RNA (tRNA) molecules are approximately 80 nucleotides in length. Their secondary structure includes four short double-helical elements and three loops (D, anti-codon, and T loops). Further hydrogen bonds mediate the characteristic L-shaped molecular structure. tRNAs have two regions of fundamental functional importance: the anti-codon, which is responsible for specific mRNA codon recognition, and the 3' end, to which the tRNAs corresponding amino acid is attached (by aminoacyl-tRNA synthetases). tRNAs cope with the degeneracy of the genetic code in two manners: having more than one tRNA (with a specific anti-codon) for a particular amino acid; and 'wobble' base-pairing, i.e. permitting non-standard base-pairing at the 3rd anti-codon position. Lineage: Bacteria; Pseudomonadati; Bdellovibrionota; Bacteriovoracia; Bacteriovoracales; Bacteriovoracaceae. The record is from RNAcentral.
GCUCACGUGGCUCAGUGGUAGAGCACUUCCUUGGUAAGGAAGAGGUCGCGGGUUCAAUCCUCGCCGUGAGCUCCA